Molecule: ribosomal RNA, 275 nt
Filed under: uncultured bacterium
Lineage: Bacteria
Description: partial 16S ribosomal RNA
Rfam family: Bacterial small subunit ribosomal RNA
Source: RNAcentral
AUACGUAGGUGGCAAGCGUUGUCCGGAAUUACUGGGCGUAAAGAGCUCGUAGGCGGCUCAGCAAGUCGGUCGUGAAAGCCCGAGGCUCAACCUCGGAACUGCGGUCGAUACUGCUGUGGCUAGAGUCCGGUAGAGGAGAGUGGAAUUCCCGGUGUAGCGGUGGAAUGCGCAGAUAUCGGGAGGAACGCCAGUGGCGAAGGCGGCUCUCUGGGCCGGUACUGACGCUGAGGAGCGAAAGCGUGGGGAGCAAACAGGAUUAGAAACCCCGGUAGUCC